AUUGCUUCUCAGCCUUUUGACUAAGAUCAAGUGCAGUAUCUGUUCUUACUAGUUUCUUCCUUUCUAAUUCCUUUUCCCCAUUCUAUUUUUGGUUAGAUAGGACUUUCUGUAUAAGGCUGCAUAGAAGCGGUGACCCUCA
RNAcentral lists this small nuclear RNA (139 nucleotides) under Dipodomys ordii (Ord's kangaroo rat). Its description in RNAcentral is "U2 spliceosomal RNA". It matches the Rfam family "U2 spliceosomal RNA". From Rfam's summary of the family: U2 is a small nuclear RNA (snRNA) component of the spliceosome (involved in pre-mRNA splicing). Complementary binding between U2 snRNA (in an area lying towards the 5' end but 3' to hairpin I) and the branchpoint sequence (BPS) of the intron results the bulging out of an unpaired adenosine, on the BPS, which initiates a nucleophilic attack at the intronic 5' splice site, thus starting the first of two transesterification reactions that mediate splicing. Lineage: Eukaryota; Metazoa; Chordata; Mammalia; Rodentia; Heteromyidae. The record is from Rfam by way of RNAcentral.